AUGAAAAUUUCAUCGGGGUGCAGGGAUUCUGCGGGGGGUGCAGGUGAGGGCAUGACGGGGGCCUCCCUCAACCCCAUAGACCGACUCUACUCAAUGCAAAACUCCUACUUCUGCGCAGAGGAACAACAUCUACUCGACCAAUGACAUCUUCUCUGAGGGCACCUCUUGCUCCAUUCCAGACCAUUUUUAUGGAAAGGAAAAGAGGAGCCUAGAAAAGAUGCCAGCAACUAAACCAUUAUGCAACACUCCAACGAAAUUCAACGAGGAUCCAAACCAAUGACCAAACUACAAUAAAAGUGUGAAGUUACCCAUCAGAAGUGACAUAAUUUCACCAUAAACAGUGUCUUCAAAAUCUAGAAAUUUUUUGACAAUUUCAAUUUACUCAUAUUCCAACUCAGGAUGAAAAGAAUUGUUACUGAAAACAAUGACAAAUAUGCAAAUUCAUUCUCUACAAACACUCUCAAGGUUUGUAUGGACAAACUUGAGCAUGAGAUUUCUCAAUAAUUUUGCACGAUUCAGCUUUUCUUUCGUUCAUCAAUUGAGGUACUGUAUUAUUUAUAAUUUUAUUGAGUUACCAUUUUUUUCUACUACAUUCUUCAUUAUUCCGUUAGAAAAAGAGAUACUUAUUUUGAGAAAGACAUGACAGCUUUCGAGGACAUUAUUAUUUUGAUACAAGCCUUUUCUCUCUACAUGAAUUACAAUUCAAAUUGAUUAAUAUUCGUAAACUAGAUUUUUGUGCAAAAUUCUAUUAAAACUAGACCGAUGUAAACCAAACUGUUUUUAAACUUAUAUUCAGUUACUUCUUUGUAGAUUUCCCUUUGUUAAGAUAAAUCAUUAAUUUACUAUUAUAGGUUGAGUUUGUGCUAUUAAUUUCCUUCUCAGGAAAAAUCAAACAUCGAAGAUUCUGAACAAAAUGUUGUAAAAGUGACAAAAUGAGUAUCGGUGAUUUUAUUUUUUGACUUAAAUUGCAAAGUGAAAAAUAAAUUUAUUCUAA
Molecule: long non-coding RNA, 994 nt
Organism: Nilaparvata lugens (brown planthopper)
Lineage: Eukaryota; Metazoa; Arthropoda; Insecta; Hemiptera; Delphacidae
Exons: 3
Source: RefSeq, a predicted model, not a curated record